CCAAAGCUGGGAAGAAGAAAAAGUUAUAGUGGUACACGCAACUCCUUGGAAGGUGGAUCAGGUCAUGUAAGCAGAGAACACGACACUUCAACCAAGAGUAUGCAGGUGAAAUAUACAAAUAAACCAAAUCGGAAAUCUUUGCCUAAUCUUCAUUCACGGGAGUCCAUUUCUGCUAAAACCGAAGGAAAGUCUAGCAAGUUGAAACAGAGGGAAACAGUAGCAAAAGGUGAAGAUAUGAAAGCUACCGCAGAUAAAGAGCAAGCAAGCAAAACCGAGUCUGUAAACCCUCCUGAACUUGAGGAUGUAAAACUCGAGAAGAAUCCUCCCGGGAACACUGAAUUGCUUGCUAAUUCGGCCCAUCCUUUUGUGCCGGAAACUGAAGUAACUCUGAAUGGGGGGUGAUCCAGACAUUUGAACUGCUUACCUUGCUUCUGGAGGCUAAUAACAUAAUUUUGAUUAUUUAAAAGUUGUACCUAAUUCUUAAUAGUUCCCCAUUUUCUUAUGGUUAAUUUAUCUUGUGCAUAUACAAUUUGUGUUUCUUUGUAAAGUUAUGUAUAAAUAUGAAUUGUGGCGGCUACAUUGUAUAAUAUGUUAAUAUUGCUUGAUGUCUAUUCUUCGAAGUCCUCUGAUCGUCUCUUUCUUGUGAUUCUCAAGCUCGCUUUCUUUAUUCUUUUCAUCUCUUUCUAUUUCCGUUUGUAUUUUUUAGGCAAGGAGAAUGAUAAUGUAAUCCGAAGAAUAUGUUUAUAUAAUUAUAAAAUUAUCACUAAUUUAUACUCCUAUUUACUCAUAUAAUCUAUUCAAGUACAUAGAAGCAUUUUUCUCUAAACCAAAUCCUGACAGGAAAAGAGACUAUAUAAACUAAAUGUAAACCGGGAAUUACCCAAUGUUAUCCGAAGAUUCAUUAGAUAUUGUUAAAAUGCUUAUAUAAACUUAUGUAUUGUAUUUUCAAUUAAGUCAGCAACCAUGCAUGUAUACAUCAAAACUAGACAGUAAGUUGGCUCAUCAAUUCAUCAUUUUUAUUUGACCAAUAUUACCAUACUUGUUCUCACUCUCUAGCAGUUAGGUCAUGAGCAACUCAUUUUUAUCAAAUGCUCAUGAAAUUUAUAAUUUCACUACUACAACUAUUUAAAUCCGAGUUGUGCAUACCAUGGACUUAUCAGACUCUUAAAAUGCAUAUGUUUAUGAUGAGAUAUCAGAGAGAAUUAAUAUACAUACUAGCUAUAAAAAUUGGAAAUAUCAAACACAAUCGACCACCGAACUGAAGAGGGAUCACCGUACCAGCUUGCCAAGCAUUUGAUUUUGCUGGAAUAGCAAGUCUAUAGCACGAGCCAAUGAUAAGAUUAUUGGUUUCAAGACUAAUGAUUUGAAGAAUUUAGUUUAGAAAUUUGAUAGAUAAGAUAAAUUAGUUUUGAGUAAUAUGCUCUCCUUACUUCAGCAGUUUAAUUACCUUCUAAAUUAGCCCGAUUCAUAUGUUUGCUUUUUGUGUCUUGUACUCAAAGAUCAUACUGAUUUAUAAAGUAUGAUAUUGACUAUCCAUUUCGUUUAUUUCUUUUAGUUGAUUGGACUGCUUAAUCUUAAGUCAAAAAAAUAAUCAGUUAAAUCAUUUUUUUAUAUUAAAAUUUUAUUGCAUACUACGAACAUGUCCCAUAUGUGUUCAACCACCACCCCGAACCUGUUUUAAGAUGCCUUUUCACUGUGUUUUUUAAUUUCACAUGGCUUGUAAAAGAAAUAAAAAAAAUAAAAAUUUAAAACUACGUCUUUCAAAUGUAAUAUGAAACUACGAUUUUACGCUUCAUUAUCGGUUAUAAUAAUCACUGGUAAAAUUUGAUUUCUUGAGUAGGUCAAAAUAGGUAUUUAGUAUUGAUUUCUGCAUAAUAUAUGAACGAGACCCUAAAAGUUCAAACGUUGCCUCAGUUAAUUAUACCGAAAAGUUUUCCAAUAAUUUAUCCUGAAAAAGUUUUCUAGAUUAUUUUUUAAAAAAUUUCAAAGAAUAUUUUCUGGAAUAUUGUUUUCGAGAAAAAUUCUAAAGAACAUUUUUCUUGAAAAAUGUUCACCGGAAAAUUUCCAUAUACAAUGAAAAAUGUGUACAGUCUGCAAGCAGUUGCCUCAUGACUGACGUAUUUAUAUUUAACUCAAAACAAAUUAUCAAUUUAUUAUAAGCGAUACGAUCUAAUAUUCUCAAAAUGCAUGUAAUUGUUUAUUUCAUUUCAUUAUAUUGAUAGUAGAGGAAAAUUGUAUGUAGCCCACUAAAUUAUGAUAUGUUGUUUUCUAGUUCAUUCAAGAACGCUACUAGUAAAUCAGAUUUGCCGGUGCCGGGGGUGCAAGAAGCCCCUGAGGCGCACAUGGUCUCAAAAUUUGGAAUGCCUCAAAUUUCGAGGUCCAUAAUAUUUAUAUACAUAUAUAAUUAAUUUUAUUUUUUAUUGUAUGUUACUUAGAAUUUCUUAUUUAUAUAUUUUUUUAUAGUUAGUCGAUUAUCAUUAAUAUUAUUAUUGUUAUAUAUAAACUGAUAUUAUAUAUUCUAUUGUUAGUAUUAAUUAAUAUUUAUUAAAUUAUUUUUUGAGAUUUUUUUAUUGAUUUGCUAAAUAUUUUUAGAGAAUAAUUAAUAUAUAAUUUUUAUUCUUGUCACAUAUUAUAUAUUAUAAAUAUUAUUUAUUUUUUUUGUUAGAUAAAUCAAUUUAGUUAACGAAAAUAUAAAUAUGCUACUCAGACGAUGGAUGUUUUAUUAGAUGUUUUCUUUGUUUCAAACUUCAAAUUAAUUUAAAAUAAAAUAAAAGGGUGAUAUUCAUUUUUUUUAUUAAAAAACCCACAAUUAAAUUUAGCACAGAGCCUCUUUUUUGAUUGAGCCGGGAAUCUUUAUAUAUUUAUCAUAAAUUCUCGUAUUUGGUUUCUUUGUCCUUCACAUUUUCUACUACCCUUUCUUCUUCCUUUGAGCUUCUUAAUUCAUUGAAGAUAUCCGUCAAAGUGUUUCGCUAUAGGAGCUAAAUAACAAUUGACACAGAUGCAUUUCGAGUAAAUUUAUCCCUCGUUCUUUUUGUAUAUUAGAGAGAUUUUUGCUUGAGAGUGCUUGGCAGAUUCAACAGAAAUGAGCAGCCGAGUAAAUAAUUGUGCACAUACUCAGCACACAUCUGCGGUGUACCUGAUGCAUGAAAAGCGUCCGGCACAACAACUUUUUAACAUCAUCGUUUUGGCAUUAAGGAGACGUCACAGGUGUCUGUCUAUAUUUACGGUUAAAAUGGGACGCUGAAAACUAAAUAGUCGUCCAUCAAACAAGUGUCGCUUUUCAAGAUAACUGACCCUUAAGUUCUACUCCCUCCGUCCCCCUCAGUAUUAUAUAUUGGGGAACGAGGACGCGGCAUGAACUUUCAUGGUGGUGCAAUCUAUUUUUUUUCUCAAUUAAAAUUUGGAUGUUAUAUUUUUAUACAGGAAAAAAAAUCUCAAAAAUAAAUUACGAAACUAUAUUUUAUAAGAAUAUUGAAAUGUGUGUCAGGAAAAAAAACAUAUAAAAUUAAAUGGGAGAAGGAGUACGAAACUUCCCCUACUUACCAUCAAUUCAUCACAUAUAGAGUAUGUGUUUUAGUUUAAAGUCAUACAUAGUUGCUCAUGAGUAAAGUAUUUAUAAUAACCCUGUUGAAUAUUCAGUUCCACUUUUAAAUUUGUUAUAUGAAAUAAUCAAUUGAAAUGAUAUUAGACUCAUUCUAAGAUUUUAAAAUGGCAUGUAACGUUUUAUUUCAUUCCAUAUAUUUAGAUAUCGGAGGAAACUUUACCACGUAAAGCUGUAUUGCGGUUCCAGAUGACUCGAUCGAUUAAAAGACAGUUACCCGUUUCUUGUCUUGAUUGAAUCAUGUCUCUAGGCUUAUAAAAAUUAUUUCAAACAAUUAUUAAGAUUAUUGUUAGACCUAUAAGAAUUUUUAACUAGCAUCGCACAUGAAAUUUAUCAUAGACUUCUAAAACGAUUAUAAAUUAAAAUUUUAAAUUUUACUAAAAUAAAUAUUUUACCAAUCAAUUACGAAAUAUUUUUUUCAUUUUAUUUAGAAAUCAUAAACAACAUAAUGAUUUUACUACAAUAAGUAUAUCAUUUUAAAUUCAUAUUAUAACAUGUAUUUGAGAAUAAUUUUUUCAGAAAAAGAUCAAAAAAAAAAAGAUCAAUGAGUAAACUUGCAACUUUACACCAAUUUAUAAAAAGUUGAAAUAUUAUUCUAUCCAAAUUUAAUUUUUCUGUAAAAUUUAAAUUAUUUAAAGAAAAUAAAUGUCUUAGUCAGCAACCAUGCAUUUAUACACAUGAAAAUUACACAGUAAUUAGUUGGCUCAUCAUUUUUUAUUUGACCAAUAUUAGCUUGUUCUCACUCUCAAGUAGCAGUUGGGUCAUGAGCAACUCAUUUUUUAUCGAAUGCUAAAGAAAUUCAUAAUUGCACUACUACAACUAUUUAAAUCCGAGUUGUGCAUAUAUACCAUGACUCUUAAAAUGCAUAUGCAGUUGUUUAUGUUGAGAUAUCAGAGAGAAUUAAUAUACAUACCAUCUAUGAAAACUGGAAAUAUCAAGCACAAUCGACCGACUAUGUCAUUGGAUAUGACUUGAAGAACUUAGUUUAGAUAUUUGAUAAAUAAAUUACGUUCGAAAUUAGCUUUUUACGAUUGUUAAGUUGAAUAGCAAUAUAUCUAUUAUUUUAUUUAAGAGGAUAUCAAUGAGCUGAUUCUUCUUGUGUCUAGUAGCUUGAUGCUCAAAGAUCAUACUGAUUUAUAAAGUAUGAUAUUGACUAUCCAUUUCGUUUAUUUCUGAUUGGACUGCUUAAUCUUAAGUCAAAAAAAUAAUCAGUUAAAUCAUUUUUUUAUAUUAAAGUUUUAUAGCAUACUACGAACAUGUCCCAUAUGUGUUCAACCACCUCCCCGAACCUGUUUUAAGAUGCCUUUUCACUGUGUUUUUUAAUUUCACAUGGCUUGUAAAAGAAAUAAAAAAAAAAUAAUUUAAAACUACGUCUUUCAAAUGUAAUAUGAAAUUACGAUUUUACGCUUCAUUAUCGGUUAUAAUAAUCACUGGUAAAAUUUUAUUUCUUGAGUAGGUCAAAAUAGGUAUUUAGUAUCGAUUUCUGCAUAAUAUAUGAACGAGACCCUAAAAAUUCAAAUGUUGCCUCAGUUAAAUAUACCAAAAGUUUUCCAAUAAGUUAUCCGGAAAAAGUUUUCUAGAUUAUUUUUCAAAAAAUUUCAAAGAAUAUUUUCUGGAAUACUUUUUUCGAGGAAAAAUGUUCACCAGAAAAUUUUCAAAUACAAUGAAAAAUGUCUACACUUUGCAAGCAGUUGCUUCAUGACUGACGUAUUUAUAUUUUAACUCAAAAUAAAUAAUCAAUUUAUAAACCAAAUUUAAAAGCGAUACGAUCUAACAUUCUCAAAAUGCAUGCAAUUGUUUAUUUCAUUUCAUUAUAUUGAUAGUAGAGGAAAAUUGUAUGUAGUCCACUAAAUUAUGAUCUGUUGUUUCUAGUCCAUUCAAGGCUACGCUACUGGUAAAUCUUUAUCAGUAGCAAUCAAGAGCUAGCAAUCAAGAGCUAAGUAACAAUUAACACAGAUGCAUUUAGAGUAAAUUUAUUCCUCGUUCUUUUUGUAUAUAGGAGAGAUUUUUGCUUGAGAGUGCUUGGCAGAUUCAACAGAAAUGAGCAGCCGAGUAAAAAUAAUUGUGCACAUACACACAUCUGCCGACUGCGGUGUACCUGAUGCAUGAAAAGUACACAGUGAGUUGGUUCAUCAAUAAUCAUUUCCUAUUAUGACCAAUACUACAAUACUUGUUCUUACUCUCAAGUAGCAGUUGGGUCAUGAGCAACUCAAGAAAUUUAUAAUUUCACUAGUAUAUCUAUUUAAAUCCGAGUUGAGCCAUCGGACUCUUAAAAUGCAUAUGCAGCUGUUUAUGUUGAGAUAUCAGAGAGAAUUAAUAUACAUACUAGCUACGGAAAUUAUAAUAUCAAGCAAUGUGAUCGUUCUUAUAUUUGAAUUUUGUUCCCGGAGAAAGUCGAAGCUAGACGAUAUUGGACCAUUGGCCUUGUAUUCUUUCUAGCUCUUUGCAUUAUAUUUUGAUGGAGAGUCAACCUUCACAAAACUUUACUACUAUUGUCCUUUACCCUUCAUCCCUUUCCCUUUUCAUCUAUCUACCAUUCCAAAUAGCUUGUAGCUGAAGUUAACUAACAGGGAAUUGCUAUGAAGAUUUCAAUGGCCAGUUGCUCUUUCUGUCCGUCUAGAAAGUGGUAGUAAAUAUCUUAAAUGCUUACCACUUCGAGACCUUUUAAUGGAAUUGGCAUGCUUUAUUUACUUAUUUUUGACCACACUACAAACAAUGGCUUUCUGCAGUUGCUUUUGUUUUUGUUAAAAUGGCCUUGAUGUCACUCCAUUGUCUUCACAUACAUCGUCUUCACAUACAUCACCAGGUACAAUGGUAUAGUUACUUUUUGUUCUACAACACCAUUCUAAAAGCUCAAUGAAAAAUUGUGCUCGCUGAUGUAGUACUUCACAUACAUCACCAGGUACACUGUUAUAGUUAUUUUUUUUUUCUACAACACCAUCCUAGAAGCCAUUAACUGAAAUAUAUAGGGGGUGUUUGGAAGUUAGAGGUUUGGAGUAAAAUUAGAAGUUUGGGGUGUUUUAGAGGUUUGACCAUUUCAAUCCGCUAAUGUUAGUGUUUGGUAGUUAGCGGAUUGAAAUAGAGGUUUGGGCUCAAAAAGCUAAUUUUCAAAAAGCUAGUUUGAGGAGCUUUUUGGGUUAGCGGUUUGGGUAUGUGUCACAAAAAGCUUAUCAAAUAGCUAUUUACCAAACAAUUUUACAAGAAACCGCUAAUUUAAUCCGCUAGUCAAAACAUCUAUUUAAAUCAGCUAGUCAAAACAUCUAAUCCAAUCCGCUAACAGCUAACCGUUAAUUCCCAAACAGGGCUAUAAGGAGAUUCUAGGUACUCGUGUUUUUUAUGUAUUAAAAAACUGAAAUGCUUAGACUGUUAGGGACGGUGCCAGUAUGGACGAUUGUACAAUGACCAACAUGCAUGGUCUGUCAAUGUUAUGAAAUAAAUCGAUCUUAUUGUCUAUAAUUCAGUUCCUUUUUGCUGGACACACAACAACCUUUAGAUCAAUCAUCAAUAUGUUUUUUGCCUUCAAUUUAUUUACUUUCAACUUGCACUUCCUCAUACACAAAAUUUCUUUUGGUGUGUUUAUCGUAACAGAUGCCAACCACGUGUGCAAGAUCCCCAAAGCUUGGAAGAAGAAAAAGUUAUAGUGGUACACGCAACUCCUUAGAAGGUGCAUCAGGUCAUGUAAGCAGAGAACACAAAACUUCAACCAAAAGUAUGCAGGUGAAAUAUGAAAACAAUAAUGUUUUCAAAAAUAAACCAAAUCGGAAAUCUUUGCCUAAUCUUCACUCACGAGAGUCCAUUUCUGCUAAAACCGAAGGAAAGUCUAGCAAGUUGAAACAAAGGGAA
This 7444-nucleotide long non-coding RNA is filed under the name Daucus carota (carrot). RNAcentral's name for it is "long non-coding RNA (DCAR_LNC001732)". The record is from RNAcentral. Lineage: Eukaryota; Viridiplantae; Streptophyta; Magnoliopsida; Apiales; Apiaceae.